GAUCACUUUGGAAAAAUUACAGAAAAAUCCACCAAAACCUAGAAAUUUAACCCCAGUCCCUCACAGUACGUGCAAUGCGCAGAACGACACCUUCAUGCGCGAAAUCGCACGAUUUGGCACAUAAAAUGUUGGGCGAUUUUCUGAAAUUCGACUUUUUCCAAUUUGACGUUCCUUGGUUUUCGCGCAAUUGCGGUAAAUCCGUCCAUCAGAUUUAUGAACGGACUGCGCCGGUGCAUUCAGCACUGCAGGACCUUCAAGAUCACGUUUUUGUUUCGCGUGAUUUAGUCACAAAUUAGCAUCAAACCACGCCACGUCCUC
Molecule: long non-coding RNA, 318 nt
Filed under: Ananas comosus (pineapple)
Lineage: Eukaryota; Viridiplantae; Streptophyta; Magnoliopsida; Poales; Bromeliaceae
Description: long non-coding RNA (ACOM_LNC036388)
Source: RNAcentral